This 466-nucleotide ribosomal RNA is filed under the name uncultured bacterium. RNAcentral's name for it is "partial 16S ribosomal RNA". It matches the Rfam family "Bacterial small subunit ribosomal RNA", at positions 28 to 507 of the family's 1533-position model. The record is from RNAcentral.
GAUGAACGCUGGCGGCGUGCUUAACACAUGCAAGUCGAACGAGGAAGCCCAGCUUGCUGGGUGGAUUAGUGGCGAACGGGUGAGUAACACUUGAGUAACCUGCCCUUUACUCUGGGAUAAGCCUGGGAAACCGGGUCUAAUACCGGAUAGGAGCGCCUACCGCAGGGUGGGUGGUGGAAAGAUUUAUCGGUUGUGGAUGGACUCGCGGCCUAUCAGCUUGUUGGUGAGGUAUUGGAUCACCAAGGCGACGACGGGUAGCCGGCCUGAGAGGGGGACCGGCCACAGUGGGACUGAGACACGGCCCAGACUCCUACGGGAGGCAGCAGUGGGGAAUAUUGCACAAUGGGCGAAAGCCUGAUGCAGCGACGCCGCGUGAGGGAUGACGGCCUUCGGGUUGUAAACCUCUUUCAGUAGGGAAGAAGCGAAAGUGACGGUACCUGCAGAAGAAGCACCGGCUAACUACGUG